Molecule: ribosomal RNA, 80 nt
Filed under: Astragalus hissaricus
Lineage: Eukaryota; Viridiplantae; Streptophyta; Magnoliopsida; Fabales; Fabaceae
Description: partial 26S ribosomal RNA
Rfam family: Eukaryotic large subunit ribosomal RNA
Source: RNAcentral
CGAGACCUCAGGUCAGGCGGGGCUACCCGCUGAAUUUAAGCAUAUCAAUAAGCGGAAGGAAAAAGAACUUAACAAGGAUU